UACGUAGGUGGCAAGCGUUGUCCGGAAUUAUUGGGCGUAAAGCGCGCGCAGGUGGUUUCUUAAGUCUGAUGUGAAAGCCCACGGCUCAACCGUGGAGGGUCAUUGGAAACUGGGGAACUUGAGUGCAGAAGAGGAAAGUGGAAUUCCAAGUGUAGCGGUGAAAUGCGUAGAGAUUUGGAGGAACACCAGUGGCGAAGGCGACUUUCUGGUCUGUAACUGACACUGAGGCGCGAAAGCGUGGUGAGCGAACAGG
This 253-nucleotide ribosomal RNA is filed under the name uncultured bacterium. Its description in RNAcentral is "partial 16S ribosomal RNA". It matches the Rfam family "Bacterial small subunit ribosomal RNA", at positions 524 to 776 of the family's 1533-position model. The record is from RNAcentral.